CAAUACACCCGAGGCCCCUCAGGGGCCUCUGAUGUAAAAAGUAGAAGACUUGAUUCUCCAUUAUAUUGUCCUUGAUCCUCGAUUUACUUACAGCCGUUUUGGUGGUAAUAAAUAUUAUGUACAUGGUUUAAUCUCAAUUGUUUUAACACUUUUUUCACGUUUUUGUUAUUGAUCUGAGUAAAGUUCAGUUACAUAAUUUAUUUGCAGUAUGUCCUUUGUCAGUAGAUAUUUUUCUGCACAGCCAGUUACUAAAGUGUGAAAUGAGUAGAUUGUUGUGUAACACCUAUAUGGUCAUGUGAUCAAAAGGUUAGAAUUAGAAGCCAAAUCAGUUUAAAUUGAUUUUUACUUGGACAAAGACCUAGGUAUUUUUAUGCCCCACCUACGAUGGUCCACUGAACAUAGAAAAUGAAAGUGCAAAGUUCAGGUUAAAGUUUUUGGUCAAGGUAGUUUUUGAUGAAGUUAAACUGAGUCACAUCUACUUGAAACUUAGUACACAUGUUCCCUAUGAUAUGAUCUUUCUUAUUUUAAUGCCAAAUUAUAGUUUUGAUCCCAAUUUCAUGGUCCACUGAACAUAGAAAAUGAAAGUGCAAAGUUCAGGUUAAAGUUUUUGGUCAAGGUAGUUUUUGAUGAAGUUUAAGUCACAUCUACUUGAAACUUAGUACACAUGUUCCCUAUGAUAUGAUCUUAUUAAUUUUAAUUUCAAAUUAAAGUUUUGACCCCAAUUACACGGUCCACUGAACAUGGAAAAUUAUAGUGUGAGUGGGGCAUCCGUGUACUAUGGACACAUUCUUGUUUCAUUAGAAUAUUAGGGGACAUGAAAUAUGUUUGAAAGAAUUUUAAGGCAAUUAAUUGAUUCAAUGUGAUCUGUGUUGGAUUUUAGAUUUUAAAAGUUCCAGAAAAUUACUUUUGGAGAAUUGAAUGAUUUCACUAAUUUUUCAUGUUGCAUGUGAAAUUACAAUAUGAUGACUUUACCCCAUUUCUUUAAGUUUAUUGAUUUAUUAGAGUUGUUAUGUUUUCAAGCUUUUACUCUUGUAUAAACAUCAUCGAACUGUAACUAUAAGUUCUGUAACCAUGGUAAAAUUCAUGAUUGAUUGUGGGUGCAUAACCCCCUGUGGCAAAUAUAUCAUGCAUUUCAAGUUGAAAGAUCCAUGUAACUUGACCAGGUAUUGCUUCCAAAUAGUAUCUACCUACAACAACAGGAAUAGGGGACACAUUCAUGUAUAUGUCUAGGAGACUGACAGUGUACCAACUGAAUUUGUUGGCAAUACCUUCUGAAUACAUUUUUUAUAUAAAAGU
Molecule: long non-coding RNA, 1296 nt
Organism: Mytilus trossulus (common blue mussel)
Lineage: Eukaryota; Metazoa; Mollusca; Bivalvia; Mytilida; Mytilidae
Exons: 2
Source: RefSeq, a predicted model, not a curated record